UUAAUUGAAACCAAAAUAGAGGUAUAUCACUGUUAAUGAUAUUAAUGAGACAACUCCAAUUAAA
Molecule: transfer RNA, 64 nt
Filed under: Geoffmonteithia queenslanda
Lineage: Eukaryota; Metazoa; Arthropoda; Insecta; Coleoptera; Cerambycidae
Description: tRNA-Asn
Source: RNAcentral